Bactrocera latifrons is the source of this 482-nucleotide long non-coding RNA. RefSeq lists it as uncharacterized. Lineage: Eukaryota; Metazoa; Arthropoda; Insecta; Diptera; Tephritidae. The record is from RefSeq and is a predicted model, not a curated record. The transcript is spliced from 3 exons.
AGCUUGGAGAGAGCGCUAGUGGUCUCUUAGUGGUUUUAAAGUCGACACUAGUGGUCCCUGGAAAAAUAUUCUGCCGACACUGAUCGGUCUGACGGCAGCCAAUACUGCUGAAAUCUACAAAUCAUUUACUGUAGAUCACCAGAACCAAUGCCAACUGUACCAAUGUCAUCUGAACCGCCAGUAAUGACAUUGACGAACUCGCUCCCAUUGGGUAGCUCAACAUCAGCAGCGGAUACAUCUAAAAUUUCCAAACAUUUUCCUUUAUGUCAACAGAGCGUCACCCGGGUAACUUUUUUGCCUUUAAAGUGCCAUCCGUAAGUCCGAUCAACUUGAAAUUUCAUGAUUGCCUAGUCUGGAGGGUUCUACGUAUUGUGGUUAAAUCUGAGCCGGACUGGACCACCUGGAACUGAGAUAUGACCAAAAACGAACAACUAAUCCUUACGUCAACAGAGAGCAUACCCGGGUAACACAUUGAAUUUUCA